RNAcentral lists this ribosomal RNA (443 nucleotides) under uncultured bacterium. Its description in RNAcentral is "bacterial SSU rRNA". It matches the Rfam family "Bacterial small subunit ribosomal RNA", at positions 340 to 774 of the family's 1533-position model. The record is from RNAcentral.
UACGGGAGGCAGCAGUGGGGAAUAUUGCACAAUGGGCGCAAGCCUGAUGCAGCCAUGCCGCGUGUAUGAAGAAGGCCUUCGGGUUGUAAAGUACUUUCAGUCGUGAGGAAGGUGUUAAGGUUAAUAACCUUAGCAAUUGACGUUAGCGACAGAAGAAGCACCGGCUAACUCCGUGCCAGCAGCCGCGGUAAUACGGAGGGUGCGAGCGUUAAUCGGAAUUACUGGGCGUAAAGGGCACGCAGGCGGUUAAUUAAGUUGGAUGUGAAAUCCCCGGGCUUAACCUGGGAAUGGCAUUCAAGACUGGUUAGCUAGAGUCUUGUAGAGGGGGUUAGAAUUCCAUGUGUAGCGGUGAAAUGCGUAGAGAUGUGGAGGAAUACCGGUGGCGAAGGCGGCCCCUGGGACAAAGGACUGACGCUCAUGUGCGAAAGCGUGGGGAGCGAAAC